This 812-nucleotide unclassified non-coding RNA is filed under the name Hevea brasiliensis (rubber tree). The record is from RNAcentral. Lineage: Eukaryota; Viridiplantae; Streptophyta; Magnoliopsida; Malpighiales; Euphorbiaceae.
GGCAUUUCCUCAGUGCUCUGUUACCCUCUCUGUUAUAUGCCCAAGGAAGCUUCCCAAAUUAAGAGCAAUAUAUAAUGCGGGAAAACGCGAUCAACAAGCAGCUGCCCCGACCGUUGAUAUGUCUAAGAAUCCAAAUUUUCUUGUAUUAAUUUCGGAAAAUUUUAGUGAGGCCUGUGCUGCUUUCACUCACAGUGAAGUGGAACGUUUAGCGCCAAGCCAGACCCUGGUUGAAAUGGAUAUGUCUUCUGUGCCUCCAGUUUCCAGUCCAGCCUCAACUUCUAAUCCAGCAAGUCAGGCAAAUUCUGGAACUCCUCUUGCAUACAUGCCUGUUUUGAAUCAACAACCAAUUUCAGCCGGAAAUAUUCCUCUGGGUAAGAAUAAUAGUGCAGAGGCUAACAUGUCUCUGUCUCAGCAGCAAACAUUGGCUACAGUACCAUCAGCUCAAUCAGGUUAUGUCAAAUUCUGGGAGGGAAAUUUAUGUAUGGUGAGGGAGGGUCAACCCCAACAUAUUUUGAGACUACAGGGGUACAAGAAAUCUUCAGCUUCUGAAUCGUCUGCUGCAAAUUUGCCCCAAACAUUGCAAAUUCGCCGCUUUAUGCUCAAAGAUCAUAUGUUUCAACUAGUUAGAGAGUGCACCGGAAAGGCAGAUAUUCUAGCUUUUUGGGCAAGCGACUGGCAUGGAGUUCUUAAUGCUCUGCACGAAAAGAACUUAUCUGCAGUAAUUCAACUACCAUCACAGACAUUGUUCAUCCAUGCUGAUAAAAGAAGUUUCCCCUUAAUUGGAUUGCUUUUAUCUAAUGAGAACAUCAGGU